This 750-nucleotide ribosomal RNA is filed under the name uncultured bacterium. Its description in RNAcentral is "bacterial SSU rRNA". It matches the Rfam family "Bacterial small subunit ribosomal RNA", at positions 61 to 823 of the family's 1533-position model. The record is from RNAcentral.
GUUGAGCGGAGAUAUAUGGAGCUUGCUUUAUAUAACUUAGCAGCGAACGGGUGAGUAACACGUAGAUAAUCUAUCCUAUACUGGGGGAUAGCCCGAUGAAAGUUGGAUUAAUACCGCAUAUAGCUAUAUAGUUGCAUGAUUAUGUAGUGAAAGAUUUAUUGGUAUAGGAGGAGUCUGCGGCACAUUAGCUAGUAGGUGAGGUAAAGGCUUACCUAGGCGACGAUGUGUAGCCGGUCUGAGAGGAUGAACGGCCACAAUGGAACUGAGACACGGUCCAUACUCCUACGGGAGGCAGCAGUGGGGAAUAUUGCACAAUGGGGGAAACCCUGAUGCAGCAACGCCGCGUGAGUGAAGAAGGUUUUCGGAUUGUAAAGCUCUGUUAGCAGGGAAGAGGAAGGACGGUACCUGCAGAGGAAGCCACGGCUAACUACGUGCCAGCAGCCGCGGUAAUACGUAGGUGGCAAGCGUUGUUCGGAAUAACUGGGCGUAAAGGAUGCGUAGGCGGUUAAACAAGUUAUAUGUUAAAUAUAUAGGCUUAACCUGUAGAAAGCAUAUAAAACUGUUUAACUAGAGUGCAGGAGAGGUAAGUGGAAUUCCUAGUGUAGCGGUGAAAUGCGUAGAGAUUAGGAAGAACACCAGUGGCGAAGGCGACUUACUGGACUGUAACUGACGCUGAGGCAUGAGAGCAUGGGGAGCAAACAGGAUUAGAUACCCUGGUAGUCCAUGCUGUAAACGAUGGGUACUAGGUGU